ACUAUUUUGGCAGAAAAUUGUAAUGAUUUUAGAAGUCAUAAAUAUAUAUAGACAUAUAUUAUAUAUAAGUAGUA
RNAcentral lists this transfer RNA (74 nucleotides) under Hestinalis nama. Its description in RNAcentral is "tRNA-Leu". The record is from RNAcentral. Lineage: Eukaryota; Metazoa; Arthropoda; Insecta; Lepidoptera; Nymphalidae.